CAGUAGCCACGGUAAUACGAGGGGAGCUAGCGUUAUUCGGAAUUACUGGGCGUAAAGCGCACGUAGGCGGCUUUGUAAGUUAGAGGUGAAAGCCCAGAGCUCAACUCUGGAAUUGCCUUUAGACUGCAUCGCUUGAAUUCAGGAGAGGUGAGUGGAAUUCCGAGUGUAGAGGUGAAAUUCGUAGAUAUUCGGAAGAACACCAGUGGCGAAGGCGGCUCACUGGACUGGUAUUGACGCUGAGGUGCGAAAGCGUGGGGAGCAAACAGGAUUAGAUACCCCAGUAGUCCCUGUCUCUUAUACA
This 301-nucleotide ribosomal RNA is filed under the name uncultured bacterium. RNAcentral's name for it is "partial 16S ribosomal RNA". It matches the Rfam family "Bacterial small subunit ribosomal RNA", at positions 509 to 808 of the family's 1533-position model. The record is from RNAcentral.